RNAcentral lists this transfer RNA (112 nucleotides) under Vulcanisaeta sp. EB80. RNAcentral's name for it is "tRNA-OTHER". Lineage: Archaea; Thermoproteati; Thermoproteota; Thermoprotei; Thermoproteales; Thermoproteaceae. The record is from RNAcentral.
CCGGUAGUCUAGCCUGGAAGGAUGCCCAGGGACGAACGUCCCGCAUAGGCUUGGCGAACCGUCUGCUCAAGGUAACAGAUCGCGGGAGAUCCCGGGUUCAAAUCCCGGCCGG